Molecule: long non-coding RNA, 843 nt
Organism: Heterocephalus glaber (naked mole-rat)
Lineage: Eukaryota; Metazoa; Chordata; Mammalia; Rodentia; Bathyergidae
Source: Ensembl
CGGUGCCGGACGCCGGACCCGGGCCCGCCCCCUGCUCGGGCCGGGCGGCUGGGACCCCGGGCUCUUGCCCGCAGGAUCCGCCAGGUUCCAGCAUGGUGGUGUCGCCGGCCCCGUCCACGCCCGGCCUGCGGGGUCGACGGCAACAACAGCUCCCCCUGUCGUGACCCGCGCCCCGCCCCGCCCCUUCACCCGGGACGGCGCGGGACGCCAGGCUGACCCGAACUCGAGGGAACAGAGACUGAGGCCGAGGGAACAGAGACUGAGGCCUAGGGAAGCGGAGUGGACUGCGGGUCACCCAGGGGAGCGGUCAGACCCAGGACGAGCACUAGCCCUACCUUCCGUCUCGCGUGGAAAUGAGCCAUCUGAUGGCAUCAAAAGCAAAAACCAGAAACUGAGCCAAACCGAGCUCCACCACGCCCACCGUCCUCCCAGGCCCCAGCAGAGGGGUGGCCCUGACUCCCGGCCCAGCCAGGCCACCAGGGUCUCACCUGUCGGAAGCUCCUGGAGCAGGUGAAAGCUCCACGAUUCAGCUUGAUUUUCCUGGGCUUUAUCCACAUGUCCUCAGUGCCUAUCGAACAUGUCAUCCAGCUGGCGUGAACUUGGAUCACGACACGAGUGGCUCCGUAGGACGCGGAGGCAGUGUUCAGUGCACCCCAUCUUCGGGAUGCAGCCUGGGUACAUGAGCCCACAGGGACUAUGCAGUCUGGACGCAGGUUUCCCCCACCGCCUUGUUGCCCAAGCACACCCGAGUCCCCGUGUGGCAGCCCGGACCUCUGACCCCGCCCCUGCCUGUGCCCAGGGGCUCGUCCACCUUGCAAGCUGCACUCCAGCCACCAACCCGGG